GUGAAGUGACCUGUUAAAUCAGGUAACAGGCGAGACCCGUGUGCAUAAUUACUACCGAAAGGAGUACAUUAUGCAGACUGCCUUGGUAACAAGGAGGAAGGUGCGGGCUACGUUAGGUGAGUACAUCCCUAAUCCCCUGGGCUACACGCGCGCGGCAAUGCUGCAUUCAAAGGGCUGCGACACCGAAAGGUGAAGCUAAUCUCAUAAACUGCAGCUUAGUUCAGAUUGAGGGUUGCAACUCACCCUCAUGACGCUGGAAUUCGUAGUAAUCGGGUUUUAUCAGCGCACGGUGAAUAUGUCAAUGUCCCUUGCACUCACCGCCCGUCAAACCAACCGAGUUUAGCUUUGGUGAGGCCCGUCAGGGACGAGCCUUGGUUCGACAAGGUAGGUUAAGUCGUCACAAGGUAUCCGUAGGGGAACCUGCGGAUGGAUCACCUCCU
This 440-nucleotide ribosomal RNA is filed under the name Candidatus Woesearchaeota archaeon. Its description in RNAcentral is "bacterial SSU rRNA". It matches the Rfam family "Archaeal small subunit ribosomal RNA", at positions 1016 to 1478 of the family's 1478-position model. Lineage: Archaea; Nanobdellati; Candidatus Woesearchaeota. The record is from RNAcentral.